This 496-nucleotide ribosomal RNA is filed under the name uncultured bacterium. Its description in RNAcentral is "partial 16S ribosomal RNA". It matches the Rfam family "Bacterial small subunit ribosomal RNA", at positions 28 to 506 of the family's 1533-position model. The record is from RNAcentral.
GACGAACGCUGGCGGCGUGCCUAAUACAUGCAAGUUGAGCGCUGAAGGUUGGUACUUGUACCAACUGGAUGAGCAGCGAACGGGUGAGUAACGCGUGGGGAAUCUGCCUUUGAGCGGGGGACAACAUUUGGAAACGAAUGCUAAUACCGCAUAAAAACUUUAAACACAAGUUUUAAGUUUGAAAGAUGCAAUUGCAUCACUCAAAGAUGAUCCCGCGUUGUAUUAGCUAGUUGGUGAGGUAAAGGCUCACCAAGGCGAUGAUACAUAGCCGACCUGAGAGGGUGAUCGGCCACAUUGGGACUGAGACACGGCCCAAACUCCUACGGGAGGCAGCAGUAGGGAAUCUUCGGCAAUGGACGAAAGUCUGACCGAGCAACGCCGCGUGAGUGAAGAAGGUUUUCGGAUCGUAAAACUCUGUCGGUAGAGAAGAACGUUGGUGAGAGUGGAAAGCUCAUCAAGUGACGGUAACUACCCAGAAAGGGACGGCUAACUACGU